Molecule: ribosomal RNA, 517 nt
Filed under: uncultured bacterium
Lineage: Bacteria
Description: bacterial SSU rRNA
Rfam family: Bacterial small subunit ribosomal RNA
Source: RNAcentral
UUCGAUUCUGGCUCAGGAUGAACGCUAGCUACAGGCUUAACACAUGCAAGUCGAGGGGCAGCAGAUCGAAAGCUUGCUUCGAUGCUGGCGACCGGCGCACGGGUGAGUAACGCGUAUCCAACCUUCCCUAUAGUAGAGAAUAGCCCGGCGAAAGUCGGAUUAAUGCUCUAUGUUGUACUUAGAAGACAUCUGAAGAAUACCAAAGGUUUACCGCUAUAGGAUGGGGAUGCGUCUGAUUAGGUUGUUGGCGGGGUAACGGCCCACCAAGCCUACGAUCAGUAGGGGUUCUGAGAGGAAGGUCCCCCACAUUGGAACUGAGACACGGUCCAAACUCCUACGGGAGGCAGCAGUGAGGAAUAUUGGUCAAUGGACGAAAGUCUGAACCAGCCAAGUAGCGUGCCAGGAUGACGGCCCUAUGGGUUGUAAACUGCUUUUAUACAGGGAUAAAGUGAGGGACGUGUCCCUUCUUGUAGGUACUGUAUGAAUAAGGACCGGCUAAUUCCGUGCCAGCAGCAGC